Molecule: transfer RNA, 23 nt
Filed under: Eisenia lucens
Lineage: Eukaryota; Metazoa; Annelida; Clitellata; Crassiclitellata; Lumbricidae
Description: partial tRNA-Leu
Source: RNAcentral
UAAUGGGUUGGCAGAAUAGUGCC